This 498-nucleotide ribosomal RNA is filed under the name uncultured bacterium. RNAcentral describes it as "partial 16S ribosomal RNA". It matches the Rfam family "Bacterial small subunit ribosomal RNA", at positions 30 to 523 of the family's 1533-position model. The record is from RNAcentral.
AUUGAACGCUGGCGGCAUGCUUUACACAUGCAAGUCGAACGGCAGCGCGGGGCAACCUGGCGGCGAGUGGCGAACGGGUGAGUAAUAUAUCGGAACGUACUCAAGAGUGGGGGAUAACGUAGCGAAAGUUACGCUAAUACCGCAUACGAUCUAUGGAUGAAAGCGGGGGAUCUUCGGACCUCGUGCUCCUGGAGCGGCCGAUAUCUGAUUAGCUAGUUGGUGAGGUAAAGGCUCACCAAGGCGACGAUCAGUAGCUGGUCUGAGAGGACGACCAGCCACACUGGGACUGAGACACGGCCCAGACUCCUACGGGAGGCAGCAGUGGGGAAUUUUGGACAAUGGGCGCAAGCCUGAUCCAGCAAUGCCGCGUGAGUGAAGAAGGCCUUCGGGUUGUAAAGCUCUUUUGUCAGGGAAGAAACGGUUGGGGCUAAUAUCCCCGGCUAAUGACGGUACCUGAAGAAUAAGCACCGGCUAUCUACGUGCCAGCCGCCGCCGUAA